This 468-nucleotide ribosomal RNA is filed under the name uncultured bacterium. RNAcentral's name for it is "partial 16S ribosomal RNA". It matches the Rfam family "Bacterial small subunit ribosomal RNA", at positions 28 to 507 of the family's 1533-position model. The record is from RNAcentral.
AACGAACGCUGGCGGCGUGCUUAACACAUGCAAGUCGAACGGAAAGGCCCUGCUUUUGUGGGGUGCUCGAGUGGCGAACGGGUGAGUAACACGUGAGUAACCUGCCCUUGACUUUGGGAUAACUUCAGGAAACUGGGGCUAAUACCGGAUAGGAGCUCCUGCUGCAUGGUGGGGGUUGGAAAGUUUCGGCGGUUGGGGAUGGACUCGCGGCUUAUCAGCUUGUUGGUGGGGUAGUGGCUUACCAAGGCUUUGACGGGUAGCCGGCCUGAGAGGGUGACCGGCCACAUGGGGACUGAGAUACGGCCCAGACUCCUACGGGAGGCAGCAGUGGGGAAUAUUGCACAAUGGGCGGAAGCCUGCUGCAGCAACGCCGCGUGCGGGAUGACGGCCUUCGGGUUGUAGACCGCUUUCGCCUGUGACGAAGCGUGAGUGACGGUAAUGGGUAAAGAAGCACCGGCUAACUACGUG